Long non-coding RNA from Eucalyptus grandis, 614 nucleotides. RefSeq lists it as uncharacterized. The record is from RefSeq and is a predicted model, not a curated record. The transcript has 2 exons. Lineage: Eukaryota; Viridiplantae; Streptophyta; Magnoliopsida; Myrtales; Myrtaceae.
UGUCAUCUUCUUGAAGUUGUCGACCUUUCCAACUUGGAGAAUUUGUUGGAGCUAAGUCUAAUCGACAAUGAGAUUUGUGAUAUUCAAGGGCUUGAAGGUUUAGCAUCGUUGCAAUGCUUGAGAGUGGACAACUGCAAGUCAAGCAAGUUCAGCGGGCUUGAAAGACUGAAGAAUCUACAACUCUUGCAGCUUAGGAUGUGUUGGUUCCUUCAGACAUUGCCCAACUUAUCUAACUUCAAAAAUCUCAAGGACUUUGAACUAUGGUACUGUCCGGAACUGGUUCAGAUUGAAGGUCUUGACAGAUUGGAAUUACUAGAAAGGCUUGAUGUCAUAUGCUGCAGUUCCUUGCGAAGCUUACCUGAUCUAUCCCACUUAAAGAAGCUGAAGAUGAAUUGGCAGCGAGAAAAACCAAUAGCUCAACGAGAUGAUCGCCCACUAGCAUUUGAAAAAGCUUGAAGAUCAGUAAAUCCUGAAAUUUGAGGCUUGGAGGAAUUUGUCAUCAAAAUGUCGUGAGAUCAACUUACAGUGAUCAUUCACACCUGAUUUUUAAUUGAAAUUUCAAGCAAAAUCGGCCAUUUAGAAGUUUGGCUCUAAUGGAAUGGGUUCUGAUCGCC